Molecule: ribosomal RNA, 497 nt
Filed under: uncultured bacterium
Lineage: Bacteria
Description: partial 16S ribosomal RNA
Rfam family: Bacterial small subunit ribosomal RNA
Source: RNAcentral
GAUGAACGCUGGCGGCGUGCCUAAUACAUGCAAGUCGAGCGAACAGACGAGGAGCUUGCUCCUCUGACGUUAGCGGCGGACGGGUGAGUAACACGUGGAUAACCUACCUAUAAGACUGGGAUAACUUCGGGAAACCGGAGCUAAUACCGGGUAACAUGUUGAACCGCAUGGUUCAACAGUGAAAGACGGUCUUGCUGUCACUUAUAGAUGGAUCCGCGCCGCAUUAGCUAGUUGGUAAGGUAACGGCUUACCAAGGCAACGAUGCGUAGCCGACCUGAGAGGGUGAUCGGCCACACUGGAACUGAGACACGGUCCAGACUCCUACGGGAGGCAGCAGUAGGGAAUCUUCCGCAAUGGGCGAAAGCCUGACGGAGCAACGCCGCGUGAGUGAUGAAGGUCUUCGGAUCGUAAAACUCUGUUAUUAGGGAAGAACAAAUGUGUAAGUAACUAUGCACGUCUUGACGGUACCUAAUCAGAAAGCCACGGCUAACUACGUG